ACUAAUAGUAGUUGACAUUUCUUCUUCCCACAUUCACUCCUUACAUCCAUUUUCACGAGCCACCUCCUGUAAUGCCCUAUUCUCGCGAGGUACAAUAUAACAGAAUUAGCUACGCUAACAAUUAGAGACUUACUUGGGUCUAUAAACGUAGAGCUAUCUCAUUUGCUUUCAACCCUUAGCCCUACGUGCCUUGUUUUACUUUAGGGAAAAAAUUUUACUCACUAAGGACUCUCCCCUCUUUGUUCUUUUUAAUUUACCUCUUACUGUUCCUCCCAGCAAAGUUAGGAAAGACCCCUCCCCACUCUUCCUUCGACAACAUUUUUUCCCGGGUCCGCCUUUCGUUUUUUUUCCCUCUUCUUCUUUCCUCUCUUUUCCUUUCAUUUUUUACAAGUACCCGUGAGGGAAAGUUGCAAAGCACUUUGAAGAGAGAGUUAAAGAGGACGUGAAACCGAUAAGAUGGAAACGGAUAGAGCCGACGUAUCUGGCCUGUAUUCAGCCGGGUGGCUGUCCAUCGCUGGUUAGUCAGUCCUGUUUCUGGCUGGCUGGCUAGUGAUUGGGCAGUUUUACUGGUGCAUUUGCAGGUGGUGUGCGCCGAAGCUCGCGCUAUGCUUUGGCUGGAUCGUUGCUUUGAGGUCUCCCUUCGGGCGAGAAACCAGAGCUUCAGGAAGGCUAUGUGCUGUGCGAGUAGUAGUGCACGGUAUUCGGUUGACCCGGUUGUAGGUUUUUGCUGGGGUUGCAGUCGCAUGCGACUGUGCCUUGGUGGGUUCUUGCAGCUGGUUAGACCCCGUGACAUUCUUCGGUGUAAAAGUCGGUCAUCUCUCCGACCCGUCUUGAAACACGGACCAAGGAGUUUAACGAGUGUGCGAGUCAUUGGGUGUGAAAACUCAAAGGCGCAAUGAAAGUAAAGGCUUCGCUUGUCGAGCUUAUAUGCGACCUCGGUGGUUUCGGCCAUUGAGAGCAGCAUAGCCCCGUCCCGACUGCUUGCAGUGGGGCGGAGGAAGAGCAUACUCGCUGAGACCCGAAAGAUGGUGAACUAUGCCUGAGCAGGACGAAGCCAGAGGAAACUCUGGUGGAAGUCCGGAGCGGUUCUGACGUGCAAAUCGAUCGU
RNAcentral lists this ribosomal RNA (1108 nucleotides) under Ditylenchus destructor. Its description in RNAcentral is "partial large subunit ribosomal RNA". The stretch from base 371 to 1108 matches the Rfam family "Eukaryotic large subunit ribosomal RNA", at positions 1 to 905 of the family's 3401-position model. Lineage: Eukaryota; Metazoa; Nematoda; Chromadorea; Rhabditida; Anguinidae. The record is from RNAcentral.